CCUACGGGAGGCUGCAGUGAGGAAUAUUGGUCAAUGGGCGUAAGCCUGAACCAGCCACGUCGCGUGAGGGAUGAAGGUUCUAUGGUUUGUAAACCUCUUUUAUAAGGGAAUAAAGUGUGGGACGUGUCCUAUUUUGUAUGUACCUUAUGAAUAAGGAUCGGCUAACUCCGUGCCAGCAGCCGCGGUAAUACGGAGGAUCCGAGCGUUAUCCGGAUUUAUUGGGUUUAAAGGGUGCGUAGGCGGGCUUUUAAGUCAGCGGUGAAAGUCUGUGGCUCAACCAUAGAAUCGCAGUUGAAACUGGAAGGCUAGAGUAUGUUAGAGGCAGGCGGAAUGCGUGGUGUAGCGGUGAAAUGCUUAGAUAUCACGCAGAACCCCGAUUGCGAAGGCAGCCUACCGGGCCAUGACUGACGCUGAUGCACGAAAGCGUGGGGAUCAAACAGGAUUAGAUACCCGUGUAGUC
RNAcentral lists this ribosomal RNA (460 nucleotides) under uncultured bacterium. Its description in RNAcentral is "partial 16S ribosomal RNA". It matches the Rfam family "Bacterial small subunit ribosomal RNA", at positions 338 to 795 of the family's 1533-position model. The record is from RNAcentral.